GACGAACGCUGGCGGCGUGCUUAACAUAUGCAAGUCGAACGGAAAGGCUCUGCUUUUGUGGGGUGCUCGAGUGGCGAACGGGUGAGUAACACGUGAGUAACCUGCCCUUGACUUUGGGAUAACUUCAGGAAACUGGGGCUAAUACCGGAUAGGAGCUCCUGCUGCAUGGUGGGGGUUGGAAAGUUUCGGCGGUUGGGGAUGGACUCGCGGCUUAUCAGCUUGUUGGUGGGGUAGUGGCUUACCAAGGCUUUGACGGGUAGCCGGCCUGAGAGGGUGACCGGCCACAUUGGGACUGAGAUACGGCCCAGACUCCUACGGGAGGCAGCAGUGGGGAAUAUUGCACAAUGGGCGGAAGCCUGAUGCAGCAACGCCGCGUGCGGGAUGACGGCCUUCGGGUUGUAAACCGCUUUCGCCUGUGACGAAGCGUGAGUGACGGUAAUGGGUAAAGAAGCACCGGCUAACUACGUG
RNAcentral lists this ribosomal RNA (468 nucleotides) under uncultured bacterium. RNAcentral's name for it is "partial 16S ribosomal RNA". It matches the Rfam family "Bacterial small subunit ribosomal RNA", at positions 28 to 507 of the family's 1533-position model. The record is from RNAcentral.